RNAcentral lists this unclassified non-coding RNA (270 nucleotides) under Glomeraceae sp. Its description in RNAcentral is "partial contains 5.8S ribosomal RNA and internal transcribed spacer 2". The stretch from base 1 to 71 matches the Rfam family "5.8S ribosomal RNA", at positions 84 to 154 of the family's 154-position model. Lineage: Eukaryota; Fungi; Glomeromycota; Glomeromycetes; Glomerales; Glomeraceae. The record is from RNAcentral.
GUGAAUCAUCGAAUUUUUGAACGCAAAUUGCACUUCCUGGUAUUCCGGAGAGUAUGCCUGUUUGAGGGUCAGUUAAAUAAAAAAUGGUGUUGUUGCUGUUUUUUGUGGUGACGUGUCGGAAUUGAGUUGUCUUCUUUUAGGUUAAGUUACUUAAAAUUUUGGCUGAAUUUUGAAUGUAUUUAAAUUUCUUAAGCAUGUUUGAGAUAUCGAUUACUUUAUUAGGCUCGGUCAUGCUCAUGAUUAGUUACUAUAUUUUUUCAGUAACUGACC